UACGGAGGUGGCAAGCGUUACUCGGUUUGACUGGGUGUAAAGGGUCCGCAGGCGGUCAGAUAAGUAGAAAGUGAAAUCCUUUGGCUCAACCAAAGAACUGCUUUCUAAACUGUUUGACUUGAGGCUGGGAGAGGAGAACAGAACUGCCGGUGUAAGGGUGAAAUCUGUGGAUAUCGGCGGGAAUGCCCAUGGGGAAGCCAGUUCUCUGGACCAGUCCUGACGCUCAGGGACGAAAGCUAGGGGAG
RNAcentral lists this ribosomal RNA (245 nucleotides) under uncultured bacterium. Its description in RNAcentral is "partial 16S ribosomal RNA". It matches the Rfam family "Bacterial small subunit ribosomal RNA", at positions 524 to 768 of the family's 1533-position model. The record is from RNAcentral.